GACUGCCGGCGCCUGUGUCUUUUCAAUCCGUGGCUAAUGAGCCUGACCCUAUGAUGAGUGCUUGCGUGCUGCUACCAGGAAGCUGGAAGUUGCAUUCGCUAUAUGUCGCCUUCGUUGCGUGCGCCCUUAGGGUGUUGCAUGUCGACUUGGAAACAUUCAUGUCGUUGCCUCGUGUUGCUAGCCACCUAGGCUGGCAUCAUCAAGGCCACCUCAUGUUUGCUUUUGGUCAUGGAUGUGGCUUACACAAAAGGCCGUUGGUGCUUUGAUGCCUCGUGCCUAGCAAAGAUUGUCCGACCGGAAACAAUGACAGUUGGCCCGGCUGAUGCCCUGUGCGGACGUCGGUGCC
RNAcentral lists this unclassified non-coding RNA (346 nucleotides) under Streptostachys asperifolia. RNAcentral describes it as "partial external transcribed spacer". Lineage: Eukaryota; Viridiplantae; Streptophyta; Magnoliopsida; Poales; Poaceae. The record is from RNAcentral.